This 258-nucleotide ribosomal RNA is filed under the name uncultured bacterium. Its description in RNAcentral is "partial 16S ribosomal RNA". It matches the Rfam family "Bacterial small subunit ribosomal RNA", at positions 524 to 779 of the family's 1533-position model. The record is from RNAcentral.
UACGUAGGGUGCAAGCGUUAAUCGGAAUUACUGGGCGUAAAGCGUGCGCAGGCGGUUUUGUAAGUCUGACGUGAAAUCCCCCGGGCUCAACCUGGGAAUUGCGUUGGAGACUGCAAGGCUAGAAUCUGGCAGAGGGGGGUAGAAUUCCACGUGUGAGCAGUGAAAUGCGUAGAGAUGUGGAGGAACACCGAUGGCGAAGGCAGCCCCCUGGGUCAAGAUUGACGCUCAUGCACGAAAGCGUGGGGAGCAAACGAGGAU